CCUAGAUGUUCCUGGUUCUCUCUGCAGAGGGGCCUGGACCAAUGCCUCCAGCUCCUCCUCCUACAAGCUUUAAAAGUCAGAGUGGAAGGCAUGCACCCCAAGCUGGGGCAGGGCCGGGCGUGCAGCUGGGUCAGGUGGCCCCGGCUCUGGAGAGAGCAGGAAUGCAAGGCAUGGGCCAGGCAGGUCUUCACAGAGGCCUGGAGGAGGCUGAUUGAGCUGCAAAGCCCAACCAGCUCAUCAGGCCAGAGAAGAAGAAAUUCUACCUCAAGACUAAAACACCAACUCCUGCCUGAGUUCCCAGCCCGUGGCCUGUGGAUUUCACACUUGCCAUCCCCCAUGAACACCUGAUCCAAACUGCAUAAGAGGAAUCUCCUUAGGUGAU
Choloepus didactylus (southern two-toed sloth) is the source of this 382-nucleotide long non-coding RNA. RefSeq lists it as uncharacterized. NCBI's taxonomy places the organism in Eukaryota, Metazoa, Chordata, Mammalia, Pilosa, Megalonychidae. The transcript has 3 exons. The record is from RefSeq and is a predicted model, not a curated record.